Neltuma alba is the source of this 943-nucleotide long non-coding RNA. RefSeq lists it as uncharacterized. The record is from RefSeq and is a predicted model, not a curated record. The transcript is spliced from 2 exons. Lineage: Eukaryota; Viridiplantae; Streptophyta; Magnoliopsida; Fabales; Fabaceae.
AUGAAGAGGCCACCUCUCAUAUCACAUAUCUCAUCAAAUCUAAACCUUCAUUGAUCCCGUCUAGGUAUCUUCUCAUUCUCCUCCUCUGAUUUUGUUGGUUUCAUUGAAAGUUAAACUACUCAGUUUAAACCCUCCCGUGAAUAUUCCAUUUAGUUUCUGGUAAAUUCUUCCGCGUGAAGUGCUGAGUACUUGAUUUCAUGAUGUUGUUUUGAGUUUACGAAAAUGAUGUUUGAACAGAUUAUAUUUUGUGAAUUUAUUGAUGAUCAGUUUUUUCAAAGGUGCUGGCUGAUAGAAUGAUUGGAGAGAGAAUUCUGCAAUUAAUUUGAUCUCGGGCUGCAUGUCACUGUUGAUGUUUGGAACAGGGGCUUCCUUGGACCAAACAGGCUAUCCUUACGAGUCUGUGUGGACAGGAGCGGGUCAAUUUUGUACGUUUCAUGUUAUGAAUCAGAACCCAACUCUUCAUACUUGGCAUGCUAUGCUUGUAAUUAAACAGUCUCUUUACCAUUUAGGCAAAAUGUGUAGCAAUCAAGUGAUAACAUUAUUGUCACAAUUUUCCUUUUCUUUAUAUAAAAGUGAAUCCAAUAUGUUAAUUUUAUGAGGGAAGAGCUUCCCUGCAACAUUCCUCAGAUCAAGGUUAAAAAAAUAGUUCUCCUUAGCCCAGUCUAACUGAUUCAAAUUGUCUUCCAUUGUCCCAACUGAAGAGGAGAGCCUGCUAUUUUGGAAGUCAGGUUUAAACAUUUUUCUUCAUUGGAAUGAAGAAAAGGGCCGGACAGUUUCCUCUAAUUUCGGUCUUACGGCAUGUGCCUAACAUGUACCCACCCGAUAUGAAAGUUAUGUUUGAGGUCAGUGCAAGUGUACAACAGUAAAUUCUAAAGUUUAAAAGUGAGACGGAACUGUAUGUUUUGGAUUGUCUGAAAUCUACUGAGGAAGAGUUUUGCAGCCC